GAAGUGCUCUUCAACUGCCUCCGCCAUAUUGUCAUUGAUUAGCUCUGUCAUAUUGAAUAUAUUUUUGCAGGUGUGACUUGCAUGGGAAAUCCUGUUUCACCCCGGGGAUGCGGGCAGACAGAGUUUGUCAUUGCCAGGGAGAAAACGUGGCUGCAUCUGAACCACCAGGAGGACAGACGGACACGUGUAUGCCAGGGAAGGGGGACUUAUGCUGAUGGUGAGAAUCGGCGCUAUCUUUCUAAAGGCAAGAGCAGUUACAGACCCACUGUUCAUUACUUUGGAUGUGUCACAUUUGCUAGUAUGACAAGAUGUAUUAUGGACGAGGAAUUUUACAGAUGGAGAGAAACAUCCAUCGGUCGGACAGAAAUUUCAAGCAACAGUUCUUGGAAACCAUAUGGGGAUCAGCCUGGGAGUUCUGCAAGGCUCUCCCCGAUGGCUUUCAGAACACAGACAUUAAGGAAAGAGCCAAGUGUUUCUGACUCAUCCGGUUCAACUGGGAACUUUCCUUCAAAUCCAGCUCCUCUGUCCAGCUUUGAAUUUCGCAGUCCGGUUCAUGUGUUAGUCAUAUCAAUUGCAGAAAAGAGCAGAGGGUUUUAUUUUGCUUCCUUUCUUUACCUUGGGUUUCUCUUGAUGGCAAGGCCCUCGGAGGCAUAACCUGUAGUGCGCGGUUAAUUUUAGUGGUGAAACCAGAGAGCUCUUGAGGACAGCGCUGGGAUAGAAGUGAGGAAUAAUUAUGAAAAAGAACUGAGGAAAAUGGAAAUCUGUUGGACGUGACUGAUUUUAUGUACCAGCUCGAAAAGGAAGCAGUACAGUACUUCAAUAAUGCAUUAUCC
Molecule: long non-coding RNA, 833 nt
Filed under: Phasianus colchicus (ring-necked pheasant)
Lineage: Eukaryota; Metazoa; Chordata; Aves; Galliformes; Phasianidae
Description: lncRNA (ENSPCLG00000005792.1)
Source: RNAcentral